RNAcentral lists this ribosomal RNA (467 nucleotides) under uncultured bacterium. Its description in RNAcentral is "partial 16S ribosomal RNA". It matches the Rfam family "Bacterial small subunit ribosomal RNA", at positions 28 to 507 of the family's 1533-position model. The record is from RNAcentral.
GAUGAACGCUGGCGGCGUGCUUAACACAUGCAAGUCGAACGGUGAAGCAGAGCUUGCUCUGUGGAUCAGUGGCGAACGGGUGAGUAACACGUGAGCAACCUGCCCCUGACUCUGGGAUAAGCGCUGGAAACGGCGUCUAAUACUGGAUAUGAGCUGCGACCGCAUGGUCAGCAGUUGGAAAGAUUUUUCGGUCUGGGAUGGGCUCACGGCCCAUCAGCUUGUUGGUGAGGUAAUGGCUCACCAAGGCGUCGACGGGUAGCCGGCCUGAGAGGGUGACCGGCCACACUGGGACUGAGACACGGCCCAGACUCCUACGGGAGGCAGCAGUGGGGAAUAUUGCACAAUGGGCGAAAGCCUGAUGCAGCAACGCCGCGUGAGGGAUGACGGCCUUCGGGUUGUAAACCUCUUUUAGCAGGGAAGAAGCGAAAGUGACGGUACCUGCAGAAAAAGCGCCGGCUAACUACGUG